GACGAACGCUGGCGGCGUGCUUAACACAUGCAAGUCGAGCGGAAAGGCCCUUCGGGGUACUCGAGCGGCGAACGGGUGAGUAACACGUGAGCAACCUGUCCUUGACUCUGGGAUAAGCCUGGGAAACCGGGUCUAAUACCGGAUAGGACCUGUCUCCGCAUGGGGGUGGGUGGAAAGUUUUUUCGGUCAGGGGUGGGCUCGCGGCCUAUCAGCUUGUUGGUGGGGUAGUGGCCUACCAAGGCUUCGACGGGUAGCCGGCCUGAGAGGGCGACCGGCCACACUGGGACUGAGACACGGCCCAGACUCCUACGGGAGGCAGCAGUGGGGAAUAUUGCGCAAUGGGCGGAAGCCUGACGCAGCGACGCCGCGUGGGGGAUGACGGCCUUCGGGUUGUAAACCUCUUUCGGCAGGGACGAAGUUGACGUGUACCUGCAGAAGAAGCGCCGGCUAACUACGUG
This 458-nucleotide ribosomal RNA is filed under the name uncultured bacterium. Its description in RNAcentral is "bacterial SSU rRNA". It matches the Rfam family "Bacterial small subunit ribosomal RNA", at positions 28 to 507 of the family's 1533-position model. The record is from RNAcentral.